GAUGAACGCUGGCGGCGUGCCUAAUACAUGCAAGUCGAGCGAACAGACGCGGAUCUUUCUCCUGUGACGUUAGCGGCGGACGAGUGAGUAACACGUAGAUAACCUACCUAUAAGACUUAGAUAACUUCGGGAAACCGGAGCUAAUGCCGUAUAAUCUAUUGACCCGCAUGGUGCAAUAGUGAAAGACGGUUUUGCUGUCACUUAUAGAUGGAUCCGCUCGGCAUUAGCUAGUUGGUAAGGUAACGGCCUACCAAGUCAACGAUGGGUAGCCGACGGGAGAGGGUGAUAGCCCGCCCUGGAGCGGGGACACGGUCCAUACUCCUAAGGCAGGCAGCAGUAGGGAACCUGACGCAACGGUCGGAAGCAUGGCGGAGCAACGCCGAGUGAGUGACGACGGUCCUCGGAUCGUAAAAACCUGUUACUAGGGAAGAACAAAUGUGUAAGUAAAUAUACACGGCUUGACGGUACCUAAUCAGAAAGCCACGGCUAACUACGUG
This 497-nucleotide ribosomal RNA is filed under the name uncultured bacterium. RNAcentral describes it as "partial 16S ribosomal RNA". It matches the Rfam family "Bacterial small subunit ribosomal RNA", at positions 28 to 507 of the family's 1533-position model. The record is from RNAcentral.